This 31-nucleotide non-coding RNA is filed under the name Rattus norvegicus (Norway rat). The record is from RNAcentral. Lineage: Eukaryota; Metazoa; Chordata; Mammalia; Rodentia; Muridae.
AAGUUCAUAAUCUUGACUUUUCAAUUGAUAU